RNAcentral lists this unclassified non-coding RNA (1664 nucleotides) under Hevea brasiliensis (rubber tree). Lineage: Eukaryota; Viridiplantae; Streptophyta; Magnoliopsida; Malpighiales; Euphorbiaceae. The record is from RNAcentral.
AAAUCAGGCGAUGUUGAAAUAUCUCCCGAGACUAAAAUCAUGGCAUUUCUGAUUCACAUUUUCCUAUUCCAGCCCCUUCAACCAUGAAAAACACGAGAACAAUUUCUGUUUUCAGGCUGGACAAUGUUAGAUCAUCACACAGUUACUUCAUAAACAAACCAACUGAACAAGUUUUACCCUAUUGCCUCCAACUGUGACUUGGAUCAUUCAACUCUGCCACCAUUGUUGAGCACUUCGCUUUUCCCUCACUCAUUCUAUGUGAGGGUGUGUUAAUAUCUAAAUGUCUUGUCUCAUCAGUGUGGAUCAGUUUCCGGCAGCAGUGUCAUUUCUGAACUGUUCUACCUGCGGAGGAAGGAGAAGUGCCAGCCUGGUUUUGUAUCUUGCAAUUCGCUUCAACCUUCCUUCCCUUAAACUACAAAGCAAACACAAAUAUUGUUUCACUUGUGUUAUAAUUACACAGCCAAAACCUUGCUUCAUGCUUACUGGGAAAUCCGAGUCAUAUUGAAAUAAUGAAGCAUUGAGAUGCCAUUCAAGAUUUAAAUAAAACUUCUGAGUAGUUUUUAGAUAAAUCACAAAUGCACCAAUAGGUGAAGAAAGAAGCUUACCGUGCCCGAACCUUUUUAGCGCGCUUAAUAUGUCUCUUUAAGAGAUCUUGUGCAGAUAAAUGAUCAACAGACUGCUCAUCCUUCUCAUCAUCUUCUACUUCUUCUCCUUCCUUCUUUGGCGAAUGAGUGCCUAAAACAUGCAUAGGUAAAGGUCUUGGAAGAGACUUUACAACAUCCCCAUAGUGUGGCUGACUUUCCUCAUGAAAUCCAUUUCUCAACCAUGAUCGACAAAGUGCAUAAAUAGAAGCCUCAUCUGAUAUUUUUACUUUUCGAUCCCUAAUCACAGUAAGAGUAUCAUCUCUGCUUCUGUCCCUUAAACUUUUAUAGACAUUAGAAUCAGAAACUGGUGAUGGAGAUGAAGCAGCCUUGAGUUGCCCAGCAACCGGAAUUCCCUUAAUCGGAGCCAAUCCGACACCAACGGAACCACUUAAAUAAUGCUGCUGCUGCUGCUGAUGUUGCAAGUGAGUUGGGUGCUGUCUAAUCAUGUGCACGGGAUGAUGAAAAGAAGGAUGAGGAUGUUGCGCCAAUCCAGAAUCCAAAUGAGGAUGAGACCGUGGAGAACCGGUGCCAGCUCCCGAAGCAGACGCGGAACCAGACCCAAUUGGAGUUCUAUAAGCAACUCCAACAGCACGUGGUUGGUACGCGCCAGGGGUAAGGUUUUGGUUAUUAGCCAGGGUAACGGUCUGAUCUAGAGGGCGGAUAGGCCUGGGGAUGAAACCGCGGCCAGAGGAAGCAACUGGGUAGAGAAUCCCCUGUUGUUGCUGAGACGAUGAAAUUGGAUUUGAAAUUUGGGUUUUUGCUUGGGUUUGGGUUUGGGGUCUAAUUUGAAUGUUUUGAGAUGCGUAGUAGUGGUAAAGUGGGAAUGGAGAAGCGUGGGGAGUUUGAGGCCUUGAGGGGGACUUAACGGUUGCAGCAGCAGUAGUAGUGGUGGUGGUGGAGGCGAAGGGACGUGUAGUGGUGGUGGCGGCGGAGGCUGUGGAGGAUGGAAGAUUAGAAGUGGUGGCCAUGGGGUAGGGCGGUGGCGGGGAAUUUGGAGGGUUUUUGUGAGUUUGUUUUGAA